CCUACGGGUGGCAGCAGUGGGGAAUAUUGCACAAUGGGGGAAACCCUGAUGCAGCGACGCCGCGUGAGUGAAGAAGUAAUUCGUUAUGUAAAGCUCUAUCAGCAGGGAAGAAAAUGACGGUACCUGAGUAAGAAGCCCCGGCUAACUACGUGCCAGCAGCCGCGGUAAUACGUAGGGGGCAAGCGUUAUCCGGAGUUACUGGGUGGAAAGGGAGCGUAGACGGCAGUGCAAGUCUGGAGUGAAAGGCGGGGGCUCAACCCCCGGACUGCUCUGGAAACUGUACGGAUGGAGUGCAGGAGAGGUAAGUGGAAUUCCUAGUGUAGCGGUGAAAUGCGUAGAUAUUAGGAGGAACACCAGUGGCGAAGGCGGCUUACUGGACUGUAACUGACGUUGAGGCUCGAAAGCGUGGGGAGCAAACAGGAUUAGAUACCCCGGUUC
RNAcentral lists this ribosomal RNA (438 nucleotides) under uncultured bacterium. Its description in RNAcentral is "partial 16S ribosomal RNA". It matches the Rfam family "Bacterial small subunit ribosomal RNA", at positions 338 to 793 of the family's 1533-position model. The record is from RNAcentral.